Molecule: ribosomal RNA, 961 nt
Filed under: uncultured Actinomycetes bacterium
Lineage: Bacteria; Bacillati; Actinomycetota; Actinomycetes
Description: SSU rRNA
Rfam family: Bacterial small subunit ribosomal RNA
Source: RNAcentral
UACGUAGGGUGCAAGCGUUGUCCGGAAUUAUUGGGCGUAAAGAGCUCGUAGGUGGUUCGUCGCGUCUGCUGUGAAAGUCCGAGGCUUAACCUCGGAUCUGCAGUGGGUACGGGCGGACUAGAGUGCGGUAGAGGAGAUGGGAAUUCCUGGUGUAGCGGUGGAAUGCGCAGAUAUCAGGAGGAACACCGGUGGCGAAGGCGCAUCUCUGGGCCGUAACUGACGCUGAGGAGCGAAAGCAUGGGGAGCAAACAGGCUUAGAUACCCUGGUAGUCCAUGCCGUAAACGUUGGGCGCUAGGUGUGGGGUCCUAUCCACGGAUUCCGUGCCGCAGCUAACGCAUUAAGCGCCCCGCCUGGGGAGUACGGCCGCAAGGCUAAAACUCAAAGGAAUUGACGGGGGCCCGCACAAGCGGCGGAGCAUGCGGACUAAUUCGAUGCAACGCGAAGAACCUUACCAAGGCUUGACAUACGCCGGAAACACUCAGAGAUGGGUGCCCCGCAAGGUCGGUGUACAGGUGGUGCAUGGUUGUCGUCAGCUCGUGUCGUGAGAUGUUGGGUUAAGUCCCGCAACGAGCGCAACCCUCGUUCUAUGUUGCCAGCGGGUUAUGCCGGGGACUCAUAGGAGACUGCCGGGGUCAACUCGGAGGAAGGUGGGGAUGACGUCAAAUCAUCAUGCCCCUUAUGUCUUGGGCUUCACGCAUGCUACAAUGGCCGGUACAAAGGGCUGCGAAACCGUAAGGUGGAGCGAAUCCCAAAAAGCCGGUCUCAGUUCGGAUUGGGGUCUGCAACUCGACCCCAUGAAGUCGGAGUCGCUAGUAAUCGCAGAUCAGCAACGCUGCGGUGAAUACGUUCCCGGGCCUUGUACACACCGCCCGUCACGUCACGAAAGUCGGUAACACCCGAAGCCGGUGGCCCAACCCCUUGUGGGAGGGAGCCGUCGAAGGUGGGAUUGGCGAUUGGGAC